Molecule: long non-coding RNA, 623 nt
Filed under: Hordeum vulgare
Lineage: Eukaryota; Viridiplantae; Streptophyta; Magnoliopsida; Poales; Poaceae
Description: long non-coding RNA (HVUL_LNC021075)
Source: RNAcentral
AGAAGAUGGCAUGGUGGGCGAAGAAGGUACCAAGAUGGAGAAUCCAAGCGACGAAUAAAUCAGCGCAUGAACGGAAAGUAGAAAUGGCGCCACUUCUUUGGUGGCCCCGCUGUAGAAACUUAAAGAGCAGUGGUAGAUCGGUUCCUCUACAAGGGACGGCCCAUGCUCUGUGUGAUCAUCUGGUCGUGUAGCCGUGGUCUUUCUUGAACGCUGCUGCGAUGAGUGGGCUCCAGCACUCAGGAAUUGUUGCAACCUGUUUAACUACCUUAUUAAUGUAAGAGCGUCCACAUGAAAAUUUCAUCGUUUUUGCUUGUGCUGGGAUGUUUUGCUGACAUGAAGUACCUGCGGGAGAAUGAGUUGUUGGCAUGGAAGAAACUUGUAUAGAAAUGUCUUCUUAAUGCGUUAUGAAACGGACUGCACUCUGCGAGGUCUUUAGUGAUCUACAUGCUCUUAUAUUUCUUUAUGAAGGGAGUGAGUACAUCACUGACUCUUUUUUCAGUUGGGUGGACACUGAGGGCCUCUUUGAUUUGAAGGAUUUUGAAAACGCAGGAACAGGAAAAAUAGAGGGUUGGAGUGACAUUUCCAUUUGAACCCUAUAGGAUUAGGAAGGAGUGUUUGAUGCC